ACAUAAUCGAAGUUCUUAAAAAAUCUCUUGGGUCCGACCAAGUCAACUUGAAGGUGAACUCUCGCUGUUGAAGAAUCUCAAGAUUGCUGAGAUUCUCUUCACUUUACAGGCAGCUGCAGCAGACCUUGUAGCUGGGGCGCAGGCCAAGCGUUUGGACAGCCCGUUUGCCAGGGCGGCUGCAAAGGCGAGAAUGAAUUGGAGUGGUGGAAAGCUAGAUGAUACCACGGCAGUUGUGGCGUUUGUGACGUGAUAUUUGAGUCGCGAAGGGUAAACAUUUCAAGCA
RNAcentral lists this long non-coding RNA (283 nucleotides) under Selaginella moellendorffii. RNAcentral's name for it is "long non-coding RNA (SMOE_LNC002169)". Lineage: Eukaryota; Viridiplantae; Streptophyta; Lycopodiopsida; Selaginellales; Selaginellaceae. The record is from RNAcentral.